RNAcentral lists this transfer RNA (76 nucleotides) under Clostridium sp. AF34-13. RNAcentral's name for it is "tRNA-Trp". It matches the Rfam family "tRNA". Rfam says of the family: Transfer RNA (tRNA) molecules are approximately 80 nucleotides in length. Their secondary structure includes four short double-helical elements and three loops (D, anti-codon, and T loops). Further hydrogen bonds mediate the characteristic L-shaped molecular structure. tRNAs have two regions of fundamental functional importance: the anti-codon, which is responsible for specific mRNA codon recognition, and the 3' end, to which the tRNAs corresponding amino acid is attached (by aminoacyl-tRNA synthetases). tRNAs cope with the degeneracy of the genetic code in two manners: having more than one tRNA (with a specific anti-codon) for a particular amino acid; and 'wobble' base-pairing, i.e. permitting non-standard base-pairing at the 3rd anti-codon position. Lineage: Bacteria; Bacillati; Bacillota; Clostridia; Eubacteriales; Clostridiaceae. The record is from RNAcentral.
GCAUCUUUAGCUUAAUUGGUAGAGCAACGAUCUCCAAAAUCGUCAGGUCUAUGUUCAAAUCGUAGAAGGUGUGCUA